RNAcentral lists this ribosomal RNA (468 nucleotides) under uncultured bacterium. Its description in RNAcentral is "partial 16S ribosomal RNA". It matches the Rfam family "Bacterial small subunit ribosomal RNA", at positions 28 to 507 of the family's 1533-position model. The record is from RNAcentral.
GACGAACGCUGGCGGCGUGCUUAACACAUGCAAGUCGAACGGAAAGGCCCUGCUUUUGUGGGGUGCUCGAGUGGCGAACGGGUGAGUAACACGUGAGUAACCUGCCCUUGACUUUGGGAUAACUUCAGGAAACUGGGGCUAAUACCGGAUAGGAGCUCCUGCUGCAUGGUGGGGGUUGGAAAGUUUCGGCGGUUGGGGAUGGACUCGCGGCUUAUCAGCUUGUUGGUGGGGUAGUGGCUUACCAAGGCUUUGACGGGUAGCCGGCCUGAGAGGGUGACCGGCCACAUUGGGACUGAGAUACGGCCCAGACUCCUACGGGAGGCAGCAGUGGGGAAUAUUGCACAAUGGGCGGAAGCCUGAUACAGCAACGCCGCGUGCGGGAUGACGGCCUGCGGGUAGUAAACCGCUUUCGCCUGUGACGAAGCGUGAGUGACGGUAAUGGGUAAAGAAGCACCGGCUAACUACGUG